UGCAAGUCGAACGAGGACUUUCGCCGAAGCUUGCUUCAUUGAAAGUCCUAGUGGCGAACGGGUGCGUAACACGUGAGCAACCUGCCUGGAAGCGGGGGAUAGCCUGGGGAAACUCGGAUUAAUACCGCAUGUGAUCGAAGACGACAUCUUCUUUGAUUAAAGCUGGGGAUCUUCGGACCUGGCACUUCCAGAUGGGCUCGCGGCCUAUCAGCUUGUUGGUGAGGUAACGGCUCACCAUGGCGACGACGGGUAACUGGUCUGAGAGGAUGGUCAGCCACACUGGAACUGAGACACGGUCCAGACACCUACGGGUGGCAGCAGUCGAGAAUCAUUCGCAAUGGGCGCAAGCCCGACGGUGCGACGCCGCGUGGAGGAUGAAGGCCCUCGGGUUGUAAACUCCUGUCAUCAGAGAGUAAGUCAUUUCCGGUGAAUAGCCGGGGGUGUUGAUAGUAUCUGAAGAGGAAGAGACGGCUAACUCUGUGCCAGCAGCCGCGGUAAUACAGAGGUCUCAAGCGUUGUUCGGAAUUACUGGGCGUAAAGGGUGCGUAGGCGGCAAAGUAAGUCAGAUGUGAAAGCUCGGGGCUCAACCCCGAUACUGCAUCCGAUACUGCUUUGCUAGAGUAGUGGAGGGGCGACUGGAAUUCACGGUGUAGCAGUGAAAUGCGUAGAUAUCGUGAGGAACACUAGUGGCGAAGGCGAGUCGCUGGACACUUACUGACGCUGAGGCACGAAGGCCAGGGUAGCGAAAGGGAUUAGAUACCCCUGUAGUCCUGGCAGUAAACGGUGCACGUUUGGUGUGGGAGGAUUCGACCCCUUCCGUGCCGGAGCUAACGCGUUAAACGUGCCGCCUGGGGAGUACGGUCGCAAGACUAAAACUCAAAGAAAUUGACGGGGACCCGCACAAGCGGUGGAGUAUGUGGCUUAAUUCGAUGCAACGCGAAGAACCUUACCUGGGUUUGACAUGCUUGUCGUAGUCCUGUGAAAGCAGGACGUCAGUUCGGCUGGACUUGCACAGGUGCUGCAUGGCUGUCGUCAGCUC
RNAcentral lists this ribosomal RNA (1039 nucleotides) under uncultured bacterium. RNAcentral's name for it is "bacterial SSU rRNA". It matches the Rfam family "Bacterial small subunit ribosomal RNA", at positions 56 to 1061 of the family's 1533-position model. The record is from RNAcentral.